This 540-nucleotide small RNA is filed under the name Oryza sativa Japonica Group (Japanese rice). RNAcentral describes it as "sRNA Os01g0259300". The record is from RNAcentral. Lineage: Eukaryota; Viridiplantae; Streptophyta; Magnoliopsida; Poales; Poaceae.
GACCCAGAAAGAGAGACAGAAAGCAUCCAUUCUCUCACACACACCUCGAUAAGUCGAUAUAAAUAGAGUAAGAUGAUUAGUGUAGAGAGAGAUCAUUAUUAGCAUUCGAUCUGCUUCUUCGCCAUCGAAGUAAUUAAUCAAAUCGGAGGAGAUCAUUAGCAAAUUAUCAGCUUGGGCUUCAUGGGGAAGGUGUGCCUUCUCGUCAUCGACGAGAACCUCUUCAAUGGCAUCCUCCUCGUCGCCAUCGUCGUCAUCAUGUUCAUGCUGCUCGCCGGCGGCGGCGCGCCGCCGCCGCGCCGCCGCGGCUUCUGCGUGUACUGACUGACCGGCCGGCGAGUGAAACCAUGAACAACACUGCAGGUGCAGGUCGAGCUUGAUUUCUAAGCUUUUAAUUUGUGUUUUUUUUUUCUCCUUUUUUUUUCUUUUUCUUUUGUCCGUGCGAUGAAGCUAGCUCGUGAUUUCUUCUUCUUCAUGUUUUCGGGAGUAAUUAAUUAACGUGUUCUUGUGUAGAAAUAUAUGUGAAGGAUUUUCUGUUUGAUC